GCCCCUCGCCCCCCACCCUAGCCCCCGGAGCGCCAUUCGCGGAGCGGCUUACGCUAGUCGCCAGGCGUACGGCGCCCCAGCGGCCGGGGAGGUGCGCUGCCCGGCUCCCGUAAAGUUAUUGUGAAUGGGGAGCGGGUGACGUCAGCGCCGAAUGUCAACAAUGUAGCGAUUGAGAGUGUGGGCGUUCCGGGGAGAGCGCGAGCCGCGCGGCGCGGAGCAAACAGCGCCGAGCCGCCGCCGCCUCAGCAGCAGCAGCAGCAGCGACCGUGCACACCCGGGCUGCGGUCGCAGCAGCGCUAACGUGAGCGCCCGCCGCCGCCCUCUCCACCCCGCCUGCCUAUUCCCGCGGCCGCCGGGCUCUUGCUUUCUCUCCGGCCUCCCCUCGACCCUUCCCCUCCCCCUACGCGGCACACUCGGGGGGCUGGGAACGAGCUGCCAUGUGAUGUGCGUCCUCUCCAAGAGCUUUCGGUGACCCCCGAACCGCCCACCGCGCCAGCUCCCGGGAGGAGGCUGCAGGCUAGAAAGACACUGGGAAGAGGAGGCGGAAAAGGACGCAAAGUUCUCUGGCGAGCACAGCUGUCUGCUUUGGGAAGUGAAGUCUACAGCAACGAGGAGAAUCUUUCCAAGCUGCCUCGCACUGUGACAUGUCUGAGCCCUUGCUCCAGUCCCUGCAACAUGAACAAGGUCAGCAUUUUUCUUACGGUUUUCUUGGCAUGA
Molecule: long non-coding RNA, 717 nt
Filed under: Suricata suricatta (meerkat)
Lineage: Eukaryota; Metazoa; Chordata; Mammalia; Carnivora; Herpestidae
Description: lncRNA (ENSSSUG00005011961.1)
Source: RNAcentral